CCUACGGGUGGCUGCAGUGGGGAAUAUUGGACAAUGGGCGAAAGCCUGAUCCAGCCAUGCCGCGUGUGUGAAGAAUGCCUUCGGGUUGUAAAGCACUUUCAGUGGGGAAGAAAGCCUUGGGGCUAAUACCCUCGAGGAAGGACAUCACCCACAGAAGAAGCACCGGCUAACUCCGUGCCAACAGCCGCGGUAAUACGUAGGGUGCGAGCGUUAAUCGGAAUUACUGGGCGUAAAGCGCGCGUAGGCGGUCUGAUAAGCCGGUUGUGAAAGCCCCGGGCUCAACCUGGGAACGGCAUCCGGAACUGUCAGGCUAGAGUGCAGGAGAGGAAGGUAGAAUUCCCGGUGUAGCGGUGAAAUGCGUAGAGAGCGGGAGGAAUACCAGUGGCGAAGGCGGCCUUCUGGACUGACACUGACGCUGAGGUGCGAAAGCGUGGGUAGCAAACAGGAUUAGAUACCCGUGUAGUC
RNAcentral lists this ribosomal RNA (465 nucleotides) under Vreelandella stevensii. RNAcentral's name for it is "partial 16S ribosomal RNA". It matches the Rfam family "Bacterial small subunit ribosomal RNA", at positions 338 to 795 of the family's 1533-position model. Lineage: Bacteria; Pseudomonadati; Pseudomonadota; Gammaproteobacteria; Oceanospirillales; Halomonadaceae. The record is from RNAcentral.